RNAcentral lists this non-coding RNA (113 nucleotides) under Nocardiopsis alba. RNAcentral's name for it is "SAM-IV sequence". It matches the Rfam family "SAM (S-adenosyl methionine) riboswitch aptamer". Rfam says of the family: SAM-IV is a mRNA element that regulates gene expression via direct sensing of S-adenosylmethionine (SAM or AdoMet). SAM-IV riboswitches share conserved nucleotide positions with the previously described SAM-I riboswitches sequence analysis and molecular recognition experiments suggest that SAM-I and SAM-IV riboswitches share similar ligand binding sites, but have different scaffolds. The record is from RNAcentral. Lineage: Bacteria; Bacillati; Actinomycetota; Actinomycetes; Streptosporangiales; Nocardiopsidaceae.
GGUCAAGAGCUCCCGCCGUCUGGCUCGGCAGGCGGGACAGCAACCCUCGUACGGCGGUGGGGUGCUCCCGAGCAAGACCAGGCGCCCGCGACCGUCGGGCGCAAGUGCUAUCC